RNAcentral lists this ribosomal RNA (623 nucleotides) under uncultured bacterium. RNAcentral's name for it is "bacterial SSU rRNA". It matches the Rfam family "Bacterial small subunit ribosomal RNA", at positions 202 to 842 of the family's 1533-position model. The record is from RNAcentral.
AAAAACUGAGGUGGUGUAAGAUGGACCCGCGUCUGAUUAGCUAGUUGGUGAGGUAACGGCCCACCAAGGCGACGAUCAGUAGCCGGCCUGAGAGGGUGGACGGCCACAUUGGGACUGAGACACGGCCCAAACUCCUACGGGAGGCAGCAGUGGGGGAUAUUGGACAAUGGGGGGAACCCUGAUCCAGCGACGCCGCGUGAGUGAAGAAGUAUCUCGGUAUGUAAAGCUCUAUCAGCAGGGAAGAAGAAAUGACGGUACCUGAGUAAGAAGCCCCGGCUAACUACGUGCCAGCAGCCGCGGUAAUACGUAGGGGGCAAGCGUUAUCCGGAAUUACUGGGUGUAAAGGGAGCGUAGACGGUGAUGUAAGUCUGGAGUGAAAGGCGGGGGCCCAACCCCCGGACUGCUCUGGAAACUAUGUGACUGGAGUGCAGGAGAGGUGAGCGGAAUUCCUAGUGUAGCGGUGAAAUGCGUAGAUAUUAGGAGGAACACCAGUGGCGAAGGCGGCUCACUGGACUGUAACUGACGUUGAGGCUCGAAAGCGUGGGGAGCAAACAGGAUUAGAUACCCUGGUAGUCCACGCCGUAAACGAUGAUCACUAGGUGUGGGUGGGUAUGGACCCAUCG